UUUCUCUAUUUCCGACGAUGAUACGAAUUGCAAUAAACAUCCAUUAAAUUAAAACCAAAUUGAGAGGAAAGAAAACAUCGUUAACCACACAUGCACACCUUUAGAAAACCUCGUGCAGAGAAACAACAUAUUUCUCAUCUUAUUUCGAGUGACUGUACAUUCAAAUGCGUUUUUGUUGUGUGAGCACUAAGGCCAUCAUCGUCAACACAAAUGUGAUGUCAUGUGAAAAUAUAUUGCGUUCAGAACGUGUGUUAUUUUCUCUUCCGUUGCAACGCACGGGCUCUUCUGCUAGUUAUACCUAAACAAAUAGAUAAAUCUACCUUAUUUAAUUGGGGGCUACAUGUCAUUAGGCCAAGACUAACUAAAAUAAAUAAUUAAACUACUAACUAAAGGGUCGCUACUUAGCCUAGAAUAAUUAGCACCUAAUCUAACCAAACUAAUUAGCUCACGGCCGGCCGGUGGCACAACCAGCCGUGGUUGUGCACACACACGCAAAC
RNAcentral lists this long non-coding RNA (497 nucleotides) under Hordeum vulgare. RNAcentral describes it as "long non-coding RNA (HVUL_LNC010171)". The record is from RNAcentral. Lineage: Eukaryota; Viridiplantae; Streptophyta; Magnoliopsida; Poales; Poaceae.